This 552-nucleotide ribosomal RNA is filed under the name Triticum aestivum (bread wheat). RNAcentral describes it as "partial small subunit ribosomal RNA". Lineage: Eukaryota; Viridiplantae; Streptophyta; Magnoliopsida; Poales; Poaceae. The record is from RNAcentral.
AUGGUGUACCACAGCUUCGACUAUGUAGAAGACGACCCACAUAACUACUAUCCACCAGAAUUCCUAAACACCCUCACCCCAAAUGGACUGCCUCCACAUAUGCUAAAGCUGAAAAUAAAUUGUCCAAUCAUACUACUGAGGAACAUCGACCCCGCUAAUGGACUCUGCAAUGGCACAAGAUUGGUCGUACGUGGAUUCCAGAAAAAUGCAAUUGAUGCAGAGAUUGUAGUAGGGCAGCACUCUGGAAUGCAAGUUUUCUUGCCACGAAUACCAUUAUGCCCAUCUGACGACGACAUGUUCCCGUUCAAUUUCAAGAGGAAACAAUUUCCAGUGAGACUAAGUUUUGCAAUGACAAUAAACAAAUUGCAAGGUCAGACAAUACCAAAUGUCGGCGUCUACCUGCCUGAAUCGGUUUUCUCACAUGGUCAACUAUAUGUCGCUCUUUCUAGAGCGACCGCGACAUCAAACAUAAAAGUAUUAACUAAUAAGAAUCAAACAAUCAUUACAAAGGAGGCAUACACAAAAAAUAUUGUCUACACAGAAGUCAAAUAG